GUUUGAUUUGGCAGGAUCUGUCUGGUAUCCACAAGUUGAAAUGGCAUGGCAUGAUUAUCAGCCAUAGGUUACUGAUAGGAUUGCAUACUUGUCACAUAGAGGCUUAUUCUAGAUGAGGUGAAUGCUGAAUCUGAUCUCUUUUGUAGAUUGAUGAUGAGACCUGUGCAAGAAAAAAAAUCUGCCACAUUGAGAAUAAUGUAGCAUGAUGUCUUCACUGUUAACCUUGAUCUUAUUUUUUUCUUUAUUUUGUCUUGCAAUUGAAUAUGAUGAUCAGUGUUAUUCCUGAUUGUCUUUUUUGGCCAAGAUCCUUAGUUGCAUGCCUCAACUCAAGAUGUGCUUGAAACUCCAAAAAUCUCUGUACCUGUGCUCGAAACUAAGAAUUUAUAAACUUCGUGAUCUGUAUGGCA
Molecule: unclassified non-coding RNA, 407 nt
Filed under: Hevea brasiliensis (rubber tree)
Lineage: Eukaryota; Viridiplantae; Streptophyta; Magnoliopsida; Malpighiales; Euphorbiaceae
Source: RNAcentral